Brassica napus (rape) is the source of this 2149-nucleotide long non-coding RNA. RefSeq lists it as uncharacterized. The transcript is spliced from 2 exons. Lineage: Eukaryota; Viridiplantae; Streptophyta; Magnoliopsida; Brassicales; Brassicaceae. The record is from RefSeq and is a predicted model, not a curated record.
GAAAGCAAUAAAGGAUAAGAGCGUGAGCGUGUAUGUAAGAUCAUUGUUGAUGAUCCCAGUUAUGAGAUUAUAUACGAGGAAUUGUGCGACAAGGAAAUAUGUGAAUGGAAUGGUUUCAGAAGAAAAAGAAGGCUGUAGAGUGCAUGUUAAAAAGAAGCUUGUGAAAGUUUAGCAAGGAAGGAGACAACAAUGAAAUUGGAGACGAUGACUGUUCAAAAGAGGAUAAUAUAUCAUAUCUCAUCGUCCUUCGUCCAAAGAUGAGGAAGAACAAGCCCAACUGAAAGCUCGUGAGGAUGCAUCGUUCAUCGAUGAGGUUUUUGCAUUUGUUAAGACUUCAUCCAAAUUUAAGUAAGCAAUUUUUAUGUAUUCUCUAUAGGAAGAUAUGAUAUUAAGCUUGGUGCAGUUUUCACUAACAAAAGUGUAAUGACCCACCACUCCCACCAUCUCCACUUCUUUCUCCAACCCCACCACUUCCACCUUCUCUUCCACCAUCUCCACCUUCUUCCCCACCAUCUCCAACUUCUAUAAAACUUAAGAAAGAGAGAGAGAGAGAGAUAGAGAGAGAGAGAGAGAGAGAUAGAGAGAGAGAGAGAGAGAAGAAGAAGAAGAAGAAGAGAGAAAGCUCACCUGAGCUCGUCGCCAGAGCCACCACACGCCAGGACGUCGUCAAGCUCGUCACCACCAUCAUCCGCAACCAAAGACUACCAUCGUGUUCCUCUCGUCGAGACGAAUCCGUGGCCACCAAAAACGCCUCAAUCGGAGUCCGGACGAAGCCGCACGCGCCUCCGGAAGUUUCGCCUCUGCGCGCGUGAGUUACACGCGCCGCCGCCGGAAAACGUCGCCACCGCCGGACCACCGUCCCCCGCCGCCGGAAUAUCCGCCGUCGCCGCCGUUGACCGUCGCCGGUAACUCGCCGGUGACUCGGUCAACUCGUCCGAGUCAACUCAGUGAGUCAACUCGGUUGACUCGGUUAACCACUGGUUUGACCGGUUUAAAUUGAUUUCGUUUCGGUUAGGGUAAACCGGUCGGUUUAGUCAAAUCGAUUUCUGGUCAAAGCUUGACCGGGUUGACUUUGACCAACGAGUUGACUUUUCCGUAAAUACCCGUUUUAAACCGUUCGAAAGGCGUUCUGACUCGAAAUUUCGAUCUGAUUUCAGAUUUGGAGUCCAUUUGAGCAGCUGGAGGUCAUAUAUACCACUUCUCUUCAUUGCUAAGGUGAGGGCUAUUCCGUUAAAUCCCGAGCUAGUUUAGUACUACCAUUAUGGAAAGUUUAGUUUCGAAACAUGAUCCGUCUUUGUGAAUCGAGUCUAUUUGAGAGUCUUGCUUGUUCAUUAUUGAUAUUGAUUGUUAACUGGAAUUAGGAUAAUAGAGGAUUCAACGAUUGUGUGAAAUGAUUGAUGCUAAGAACUGCUAUAUAUAUGUAUAUACAUAGUUAUGAGUAGGGACUAUGUGAUGAGGGCGUGAGUUCAGAGAUGUCUGAGCUUCGACGCUACGGUGUGAUAUGGGCGUGAGUUCAGAGACGUUUGAGCUUCGACGCUACUGUUUGGGGCGUGGUGCAGAGACGUUUGCAUUCGACGCUACGAUGGGCGGGGGUACAGAGACAGACUGUACUAGCGACGCUUCGAGUAUAAGUAUAUAUCCGUAUGAGGAGAUGCGUGGUGCAGAGAGUAGCUAUGUACUAUAAGCGCAUGAGUUGUAACGGCUAGUCCUCUAGCCGAAUAUUGAUUAUUAUGUGUGGUGUAAUAGGCACCGUGUUUGUUUCAUGCUAGAGCUAGGCCUACAUUUUAGUAGUGCUAUGAACUCAGUCUGUGGUUUGCGGUUUAGCAUCCCAUACCUCGCUGGGCAACUCCCCUGUUGCUCACCCCUCCUUCUUUCCCCCUUUCAGGUGAGACCGACGAGUAGGAGUGAUUAUCGGACCGGUGCUAUUGGGCUUUUGGGCUUCCAUCGCUUUUACCGCUUUUAUCUUUAUCGGGUCUUUAGGCCUUUGGACUUUUAUCGUUUAUGUUAUUCCUAUUUCAGACUUUCGGUUUAUGUCGUAUUUUAUAUUUCGGAUGUUAUCGUUAUCGGGCCUUUUGGCGUUAUGCUAUCGUAUUGACUUUUAUAUUAUGGUGGAAAUUAUUAUUAUUAUUUGAGUUGUAUUAUUAUUUUA